This 226-nucleotide ribosomal RNA is filed under the name uncultured bacterium. RNAcentral's name for it is "partial 16S ribosomal RNA". It matches the Rfam family "Bacterial small subunit ribosomal RNA", at positions 538 to 763 of the family's 1533-position model. The record is from RNAcentral.
GCAUUAAUCGGAUUUAUUGGGCGUAAAGGGCGCGUAGGCGGAAAUUUAAGUCAGAUGUGAAAUCCCGGAGCUCAACUCCGGAACAGCAUUUGAAACUGGAUUUCUAGAGGGUAGGCGGAGAAAACGGAAUUCCACAAGUAGCGGUGAAAUGCGUAGAUAUGUGGAAGAACACCAGUGGCGAAGGCGGUUUUCUAGCUUACACCUGACGCUGAUGCGCGAAAGCAAG